GACUGGUCUCUCCCUCUGGAUACAUCUUGUGUUCCCCAACGGCAGACGGGCUGCUGCUGUGCCACUCGAGAGCCACACUCAGCUUUGUGUGGAAGACUCAGUCCCUGGUUUCUUGCUGUCCUGCAAAAAAUGGUAUAAUACUUCAGCUCUUUUACCUCUCUCAGUGAACCUGAAAACAUGUAUGCUACAAGACUGAAAUAAGCUUGUAGGAGUAUCCUAGGUAGGAAUCUUUCAUAGGAUAUUGAAUACAAUGGUUCCUCCUACUCUUGCUAGCAUUAGCAAAAGACCUGACUUCAUGUUUAAAUCUUCAUUAAAAUAAUUGAGAUGCUUUCUGAGGCUUGUCAGGGCUACUCUAAUUUCCAAUAUAAUGUAAUGAGCGUGUAAUGGCCCCCAGGCACUGUUUUUCUGGCUGGGGAUAACUGGAGCACAGUGCGCUGCAUGUGUAUUUGACAAGGAAAAAUAAUUACUACAUUUUUCUGAUAAGAGAAUACUGUAUAAAAGUUAAUGGUACAUGGCAAAAAGAAUUCAGCCAUUCAGAAACAUUUUCAGCUAAUAUAUUGAGAUUAAUACAAAUUAAUCUGGUUUUAGUUAAAGAGCAAACACAAAAGCUCAUCUCUGUGGAUCACGGUGCCUUCUUUUUGGUGCUGCACUAAGAGUCUAAGGAUUAGGAUACCAAAACAUCCUGGAGGAUCAGUGUUUGAGAAUCAGUAUGAUUUAUUACUUCCUAGCCAAUGAGAGCUGGAACACUGCAGAAGAAGUGUGCUCAGCUCCUGAGAAGAAAAGGAAGGGCUCAGGAUGUUUGACAAUAACCACAAAUGGCAUAGGGAGCAGCAUUAGUAAGCUCUGGAGCCAGUUGAAAGUGUCUCAACCAGUGGGAAAGUUACAGAAUUCUGAGACUACAAAAGUGGGAAAAGAACAUUUUAGGUUAAUCUCUGUGCCUCCCCCAAUAAAGUUGGGACUUUAAAUAUAUUAUAGGACAAGAAAGAUAAAAAGGCUAUUGUGUCUCCUUCAGUAAUCAUGUCCUACAAGCAUUAUUCCACCCUCAUUGGUUACAUUCUGGUCUCCGAACUUUCCACUUGUAGUUGUUCUUUUUGUCUCUCCCAAAAACUGUUGGCUGCUGUACAGAAUGAUACAAAGUUUCACCUCAAGCUGCUGCAUUUCAGUGAUGGGUGAAGUCAUCCUUUUAUGUACAGUCUAUAGAGCGUACUGUAAUUUUUCUGGCUGAAAAGUGCUAUAUAAAGCACAAGGUAAUAUUAGUAUGAACUGCAAGCUAUUGCUGUUCAUUUCAAAGCUGAAACAUCUUUGGUUUUUAUUCCUGCAAUCUACAGAGCAAGGUGAUUCUGUCAGAAUUCUAAUUAGGGACUCAAAUUGAAACUAAAUAGGAUUUCACAGAAAAUAAGUACCCCUUUGGUUUAUAACAUGAACUGAAUGUUGGUGCUUUUUAAUCCUUCUAAUUUCAUUUGUAAAGUGUUUUAUUAGGCUAUUGGAAAUUUCAGCAAUGAACUUAACUGAAAUGCAAUCCAAAUGCCCUAAAGUUAUAGCCAUGCUACAAAUUUAAUUCCCUGCCCUGGAACAUUCAGAUGGCAAUACAUGAUUCAAAUCUGAAUCUUUAGAGUCAGAAGGAUUCUGUAGGAUCACUGAGCGGUCCUGAUCCCAAUGGGAGAUGUAUAUUACAAAAAAUAAAGAAGAACCACAACUUACAAUGUAUUGAAAAGAGAGAAAAGUAAAUUUACCAUAAAGAGCUCUAUGUAUCAGUUUUCUUCCAGGGAUCUCAAAAUUAUAAACAAAUAUUGACUCGUCACACCCUUGAGAAGUAGACAAUUAUCUAUACCUGUUUUGCCGCUGAAGAAAUGGAGGCAGAGAGAAAGUAAACACUUUGUCUAAGAUCAGAAUAAGUGGUGGGGAUAGAAGCCCAUAGUCUUCAUGCUGUCCUGCACAUUAAUCACUAUGCAACGUUCUGAUAUGAAGAUGGAACAUAGCAAACUACUAAAAUAAAUCUAGCAUGUUGACUCAAUACAGAGUGAUGUGGGAGGUGGCCCAGGGACACACUCUCUGCCCUACACUGGUGGGGAAAUUCCUCUGGGUAGAAGUUGUUCCCCAGGUGACUUUGUCCUGGUUUUACACCCCUCAUGCAAUGGAAGAGUGAGUGUAUAUGGGAGGUACAGAACCCAGAAUCAGAGCCAUAAUGCUUAAAGUGCAGUAAUCUGUUCAAUUUUGGUACUUAUUUGAGCACUUUUUGUGAAUAAAAGUUAAACUAAGAUACUAACGUGAUAGGUGCCCUAUAAAUGCCUCAGAUCUAUAUCAAAAUUAUGGAUAGUUUCUGGACUACUUUAUUGGACUAUUCAUGGUUUGUGAUUCAUGGUGUAUGAUUUGGCCACUUUAGUCACAUAGUAUUGUUUCAGCUCCUUGAUGGAAGACUGUUGUUCUCCUGUUUAAAAAGUUUUAAAUAGUGAAUAAUGAUUAGGGAAUAAUCAAUAGUGGCUACUCAUGUUCAUGCACAAAAUCCUUUGGUCACAUGUGGCUACAGGUAUUGUAUGAAUAAGACUUUCACCAAGCAAAAAUCUGUAUGGAUAACAAGGAAUAUGAAUGUCAGUGAAUAAAACAGCUGUUGAGAAUGGAAACAAAAUUUGUGAAGAAUGUUUUGAAGGAAUCUGUCAGCCUCGAUGCAUGUACUUUGGAUAAACAUCUGGCAUUUUGGUGGUUCUCUGAACGCACACUGUAUAAACCAGGGUAAUUGAAUUAUGAGAGCUAUUAGACUGAAGCUGAGAGACUCAUUGAUGUUUGCUGUCAAGAUAUUUUGAUGUAUUCUUUUUCUUUUUCUUUUUUUCAAUUUAUCAUCCUGCCAAGUGAGAUUUCAUAUCCCGGACAUCUCAAGCAAAAGGUCAUCAUCAGUGGACAAGAUCUGAAUUCUGACUGGGGGAAGAUUUCCAGGCUAGAGUGGCAGCUACAACAAGCCAUGAGUCAUUCUGAUGGGUCCUCUUCGAAGUGUGUCGGGCAGUAUAAAAGAUGGAUUAGAUUCCCCUACAAAAUAAAAUUUAAUAAUUCCAUAUCAUAAA
Molecule: non-coding RNA, 3056 nt
Organism: Chrysemys picta bellii (western painted turtle)
Lineage: Eukaryota; Metazoa; Chordata; Testudines; Emydidae
Source: RefSeq, a predicted model, not a curated record